UCCAUCAUAGUUUAGGUGUUUAGGAUACUUGGCUCUCACCCCAGAGACCAGUUUCGAGUCUCGGCGACGGAA
This 72-nucleotide transfer RNA is filed under the name Hordeum vulgare. RNAcentral describes it as "tRNA-OTHER". The record is from RNAcentral. Lineage: Eukaryota; Viridiplantae; Streptophyta; Magnoliopsida; Poales; Poaceae.